This is a long non-coding RNA of Callorhinus ursinus (northern fur seal), 1071 nucleotides long. RefSeq lists it as uncharacterized. The record is from RefSeq and is a predicted model, not a curated record. NCBI's taxonomy places the organism in Eukaryota, Metazoa, Chordata, Mammalia, Carnivora, Otariidae.
GAUACUGAGAUCAUGACCUGAGCGGAAAUCAAGAGUCGGCCGCUUAACCAGCUGAGUCACCCAGGAGCCCCGUCAUGGCUGUUCUCACUUAUUUCCACAUUGUGUAAUCUCAGGCAAGCUCUGUAGCCACUUUUUGGGGCCUCAGUAUCUGCCUCUGCAAAACAGGACUGAUCAUAGUGUUAGUGCUCUCUGGGUAUCUACAGUGGUGCUGUCGUGAGGGAGGGCAGCUUCCCUGAGAGGACUCCUGGGGCACGUUUUGAGAACUAGGCCUCCCUGUUCCCUGAGACACAGCGGUAUUGCGAUGAGGCCAGUUAAUGCCGCUCCAGUGGCCUGCAAGUGUCCAAGUGAAAGGAAGAGUUGCAUGUCUCUCCCUCUAAAUCAAGAGCUAGAAGUGACUAAGCUUAGGGAGGAAGGCAUGUCGAAGGCCAACACAGGCCCAAGGCUAGGUCUGUCGUGCCAAAGAGCCCAGCUAUAAAUGCGAAGGAGAAGUUUGUGAAGGAUAUUGAAAGAGCUCAUCCAGAGCAAGGCCCUGACUCCCUUCAAUUCUGUGAAGGCCGAGAGAGGCGUGGAGGCUGCAGACCAGUUUGAAGCUAGCCGAGGUGGUUCAGGAGGUGGAAGGAAAGAAGCCAUCUCCAUGAGAGUGCAAGGUGAAGCAGCCAAAGCUGAUAUAGAAGCUGCCGCAAGUUACCCAGAGCUAGCUAAGGUAAUCCGUGAAGGUGGCUACACUAAACACAGAUUUCCAGUGCAGACAAAACAGCCUCCCACUGGCAGAGGAUGCCAUGUAGGACUCUCAUCAGUAGAGAGAAGUCAAUGCCUGGCUUCAAAGCCUCAGAGGACAGGCUGACUCCUGUUAGGGGCUAAGGCAGCUGUUGGCUUCAAGCUGGAGCCCGUGCUCAGUGACCAUUCUGAGAAUCCUAGGGCCCUUGAGAAUGACGCUAAAUCUCCUCUGCCUGGGCUCCAUAAAUGCAACAGCAAAGCCUGGAUGACAGCACAUUGCUUUACAACAUGGUUACUGAAUAUUUUGAGCCACUCUUGAGACCUACUGCUCAGAAAAAAAAAAAAAAAUCCUUU